UACGGAGGGUGCGAGCGUUGUUCGGAAUUACUGGGCGUAAAGCGCGUGUAGGCGGCCUUCUAAGUCUGGUGUGAAAGCCCGGGGCUCACCCCCGGAAGUGCAUUGGAUACUGGGAGGCUGGAGUACCGGAGAGGAGGGUGGAAUUCCUGGUGUAGCGGUGAAAUGCGUAGAUAUCUGGAGGAACACCGGUGGCGAAGGCGGCAUCCUGGACCGGCAUUGACGCUGAGGCGCGAAAGCUAGGGGAGCAAACGGG
This 253-nucleotide ribosomal RNA is filed under the name uncultured bacterium. Its description in RNAcentral is "partial 16S ribosomal RNA". It matches the Rfam family "Bacterial small subunit ribosomal RNA", at positions 524 to 776 of the family's 1533-position model. The record is from RNAcentral.